AAUGAGCUAAGUGACAAAGGAAGUGAAAGUGCUACGACAGCUAGGCUGUUGGCUUAGAAGCAGCAAUCAUUUAAAAAGUGCGUAAUAGCUUACUAGCCGAGUACUUUUGUGCCGAAAAUUAGCGGGACUAAAGCUCAUUACCGAAACUAUGGAUCCUAAUCUUUUAGGAUGGUAGGGGAGCGUUCUAUGAUAGGUUGAAGCCUUACUAAAAAGAGAGGUGGACGAAAUAGAAGUGAGAAUGCCGGUAUAAGUAGCGAUAAUAUAAGUGAGAAUCUUAUUCGCCGAAAGCCUAAGGUUUCCUGGGGAAGGCAAAUCCGCCCAGGGUUAGCCGGUACCUAAGUCGAGGUCGAAAGGCGUAGACGAUGGAUAACAGGUUAAUAUUCCUGUGCUGCUAUUUAACGUUUGAGCUUGGGAGGACGUGGACACAACGAUUAGCAAACCCAGUAGACAUGGUUUGUUCAAGCUGGAGAUGCCGCUCUAGGAAAAUCCGGAGCAAUAAGGUGUCGAAA
This 509-nucleotide ribosomal RNA is filed under the name Candidatus Woesearchaeota archaeon. Its description in RNAcentral is "partial 23S ribosomal RNA". It matches the Rfam family "Bacterial large subunit ribosomal RNA", at positions 1053 to 1561 of the family's 2925-position model. Lineage: Archaea; Nanobdellati; Candidatus Woesearchaeota. The record is from RNAcentral.